GCGGGUAUAGCUGAGUUGGCUACAGCGUCUGCCUUCCAAGCAGAAGAUCACGGGUUCAAGUCCCGUUGCCCGCU
This 74-nucleotide transfer RNA is filed under the name Phenylobacterium sp. RNAcentral describes it as "tRNA-Gly". It matches the Rfam family "tRNA". From Rfam's summary of the family: Transfer RNA (tRNA) molecules are approximately 80 nucleotides in length. Their secondary structure includes four short double-helical elements and three loops (D, anti-codon, and T loops). Further hydrogen bonds mediate the characteristic L-shaped molecular structure. tRNAs have two regions of fundamental functional importance: the anti-codon, which is responsible for specific mRNA codon recognition, and the 3' end, to which the tRNAs corresponding amino acid is attached (by aminoacyl-tRNA synthetases). tRNAs cope with the degeneracy of the genetic code in two manners: having more than one tRNA (with a specific anti-codon) for a particular amino acid; and 'wobble' base-pairing, i.e. permitting non-standard base-pairing at the 3rd anti-codon position. The record is from RNAcentral. Lineage: Bacteria; Pseudomonadati; Pseudomonadota; Alphaproteobacteria; Caulobacterales; Caulobacteraceae. RNAcentral also lists the same sequence under 2 other names.